This is a long non-coding RNA of Cornus florida, 1504 nucleotides long. RefSeq lists it as uncharacterized. The transcript is spliced from 2 exons. NCBI's taxonomy places the organism in Eukaryota, Viridiplantae, Streptophyta, Magnoliopsida, Cornales, Cornaceae. The record is from RefSeq and is a predicted model, not a curated record.
UUCAUAGGCACUUUCAUGCUCAUCUUUGCAGGAGCAUCCACAGCCAUUGUGAACCAAAAGACACAAGGCUCUGAAACCCUACUCGGCCUCGCCGCCUCCAAUGGCCUGGCUGUCAUGAUCAUCAUACUGUCGACCGGCCACAUAUCGGGAGCCCAUCUCAACCCUUCUGUUACCAUUGCCUUUGCAACCUUCAAACACUUCCCAUGGAAACUUGUAAAAUUUGCUAGCUAGCUCUACCUAAGUCCCAGCAUGCAUGCAUAUCCCUAGUUACUAUAUAUAUUUUGUAUAUACACUUGACAAUAUAUAGGGUUCAAUGUGAUGGUAGGUGCCGGUGUACAUUGGGACACAAGUGAUGGCAUCAUUGGCUGCAUCAUUUGUACUCAAGUUGAUUUUCCACCCUUCAAUGGGUGGAGGAGUCACUGUUCCUUCUGGGGACAAUGGACAAGCUUUUGCUAUGGAGUUCAUUAUUAGCUUCAUCCUCAUGUUUGUCGUUACUGGAGUGACCACCGACUCUAGAGCUGUAAGCAAUCCUUAUUCCAUGUGUGUGUGUAUAUGAUAAUACUUGUCUCCUCACCAUUGAAGUAGAACUCUCUCACGAGGAUGAUAUACGUAGCACUAUAAUGCUCCAUAAAUAAAUGAAAUAAAAGUCUCAUCCCUAUCCUCACUUGGUUCCAUCUUCUCCUUCUAUUUUUAUGUGAAUAGGGACUGAUGCGAACGUGAUGUCAACCACAUUAACGACAAUCAAUUCACACUCACAUAAAUUAAUCAGAGUUAUUCAAAUUUAAGAUUCCAAAUCAUUUUCCAAUCUUUAUUGAUAUGAGUGAAGAGGUAACUAUUGUACUCUUUGUUUACUACUCUCCAUUUCCGACUUAUGUGUUAGUACAUAAUUGGUCCGGGAUUUCCGGACCAAGUAAUAAUUUCUCAACAUUUUUUGAUCGCAUUACAGGUUGGCAGGCUGGCAGCAAUCGCAGUGGGAUCUACCGUCAUGCUAAACGUAUUAAUAGCCGGGAAAAUCACAGGAGCUUCAAUGAACCCAGUGAGAACUCUGGGGCCCGCCAUAGCUGCAAACAACUUCAAAGGGGUAUGGGUAUACCUCACUGCUCCAAUCCUGGGUGCGCUGUCGGGGGCAGCUGUUUACUCUGCUGUCAAGCUGCCAGAGAGAGAGGACGAUACAUAGCAUAACCUUUCAACACCACAACAUAUAUAUAUAUAUAUAUAUAUAUAUAUAUAUAUAUAUAUACAUGCCCUUAUAAAUAUUUGUGUAUUAAUCAAAUAUAUAUAAAUCAAGCAAGAGGAUGAUGGUUGGUGGUUGACUUAGUUUAAAAGGGAAUCAGAACAGGUGGUAUUGAGUGAUUUUAUUGUUUUCCAUAUUUUCCUUUUUGUGUUGCAGUUUCUGCUCUUUAGCUAUUGUUUUCUUAUUUGGGUUUUCGAUUUGCUCUUUAAUAAUGAUGUAAUAUAUUUAUUAUCAAUGUAUUUGUUUGAUCUUAAGCAUGGUUAUGCAUUC